CAGCCGCCACGGGAAUACGUAGGGUGCAAGCGUUAAUCGGAAUUACUGGGCGUAAAGCGUGCGCAGGCGGUUAUAUAAGACAGAUGUGAAAUCCCCGGGCUCAACCUGGGAACUGCAUUUGUGACUGUAUAGCUAGAGUACGGCAGAGGGGGAUGGAAUUCCGCGUGUAGCAGUGAAAUGCGUAGAUAUGCGGAGGAACACCGAUGGCGAAGGCAAUCCCCUGGGCCUGUACUGACGCUCAUGCACGAAAGCGUGGGGAGCAAACAGGAUUAGAUACCCCGGUAGUCCCUGUCUCUUAUAC
Molecule: ribosomal RNA, 301 nt
Filed under: uncultured bacterium
Lineage: Bacteria
Description: partial 16S ribosomal RNA
Rfam family: Bacterial small subunit ribosomal RNA
Source: RNAcentral